RNAcentral lists this ribosomal RNA (491 nucleotides) under uncultured bacterium. RNAcentral's name for it is "partial 16S ribosomal RNA". It matches the Rfam family "Bacterial small subunit ribosomal RNA", at positions 29 to 506 of the family's 1533-position model. The record is from RNAcentral.
AGUGAACGCUGGCGGUAGGCCUAACACAUGCAAGUCGAACGGCAGCACAGUAAGAGCUUGCUCUUACGGGUGGCGAGUGGCGGACGGGUGAGGAAUACAUCGGAAUCUACUUUUUCGUGGGGAAUAACGUAGGGAAACUUACGCUAAUACCGCAUACGACCUACGGGUGAAAGCAGGGGAUCUUCGGACCUUGCGCGAUUGAAUGAGCCGAUGUCGGAUUAGCUAGUUGGCGGGGUAAAGGCCCACCAAGGCGACGAUCCGUAGCUGGUCUGAGAGGAUGAUCAGCCACACUGGAACUGAGACACGGUCCAGACUCCUACGGGAGGCAGCAGUGGGGAAUAUUGGACAAUGGGCGCAAGCCUGAUCCAGCCAUACCGCGUGGGUGAAGAAGGCCUUCGGGUUGUAAAGCCCUUUUGUUGGGAAAGAAAAGCAGCAGGUUAAUACCCCGCUGUUCUGACGGUACCCAAAGAAUAAGCACCGGCUAACUUCGU